Molecule: transfer RNA, 73 nt
Filed under: Balaenoptera acutorostrata scammoni
Lineage: Eukaryota; Metazoa; Chordata; Mammalia; Artiodactyla; Balaenopteridae
Description: tRNA-Gln (CTG) (tRNA-Gln-CTG-8-1)
Rfam family: tRNA
About the family: Transfer RNA (tRNA) molecules are approximately 80 nucleotides in length. Their secondary structure includes four short double-helical elements and three loops (D, anti-codon, and T loops).
Source: RNAcentral
UCCCUGGUGGUCCAGUGGUUAGGACUCUGCACUCUGAUUGCUGACGGCCCAGUUUCAAUCCCUGGUCAGGGAA